GAUGAACGCUGGCGGCGUGCCUAAUACAUGCCAGUCGAGCGAACAGACGAGGAGCUUGCUCCUCUGACGUUAGCGGCGGACGGGUGAGUAACACGUGGAUAACCUACCUAUAAGACUGGGAUAACUUCGGGAAACCGGAGCUAAUACCGGAUAAUAUAUUGAACCGCAUGGUUCAAUAGUGAAAGACGGUUUUGCUGUCACUUAUAGAUGGAUCCGCGCCGCAUUAGCUAGUUGGUAAGGUAACGGCUUACCAAGGCAACGAUGCGUAGCCGACCUGAGAGGGUGAUCGGCCACACUGGAACUGAGACACGGUCCAGACUCCUACGGGAGGCAGCAGUAGGGAAUCUUCCGCAAUGCGCGAAAGCCUGACGGAGCAACGCCGCGUGAGUGAUGAAGGUCUUCGGAUCGUAAAACUCUGUUAUUAGGGAAGAACAAAUGUGUAAGUAACUAUGCACGUCUUGACGGUACCUAAUCAGAAAGCCACGGCUAACUACGUG
Molecule: ribosomal RNA, 497 nt
Filed under: uncultured bacterium
Lineage: Bacteria
Description: partial 16S ribosomal RNA
Rfam family: Bacterial small subunit ribosomal RNA
Source: RNAcentral